CUACCGGGGUAUCUAAUCCCGUUUGCUCCCCUAGCCUUCGCGCCUCAGCGUCAGGAGCUGUCCAGAGAUCCGCCUUCGCCACUGGUCUUCCUCACGAUAUCUACGCAUUUCACUGCUACACCGUGAAUUCCGAUCUCCUCUCCAGCCCUCUAGCAGAGCAGUAUCCAGUGCAAUUUCGGAGUUGAGCUCCGAGAUUUCACACCAGACUUACCCCACCGCCUACGCGCCCUUUACGCCCAAUGAAUCCGAACAACGCUUGAGACCUCUGUAUUACCGCGGCUGCUGGCAC
This 289-nucleotide ribosomal RNA is filed under the name uncultured Spartobacteria bacterium. RNAcentral describes it as "partial 16S ribosomal RNA". The record is from RNAcentral. Lineage: Bacteria; Pseudomonadati; Verrucomicrobiota; Spartobacteria.